This 449-nucleotide ribosomal RNA is filed under the name uncultured bacterium. RNAcentral describes it as "partial 16S ribosomal RNA". It matches the Rfam family "Bacterial small subunit ribosomal RNA", at positions 29 to 523 of the family's 1533-position model. The record is from RNAcentral.
AGCGAACGCUGGCGGCAGGCCUAACACAUGCAAGUCGAACGGACCCUUCGGGGUUAGUGGCGGACGGGUGAGUAACACGUGGGAACGUGCCUUUAGGUUCGGAAUAGCUCCUGGAAACGGGUGGUAAUGCCGAAUGUGCCCUCAGGGGGAAAGAUUUAUCGCCUUUAGAGCGGCCCGCGUCUGAUUAGCUAGUUGGUGAGGUAAUGGCUCACCAAGGCGACGAUCAGUAGCUGGUCUGAGAGGAUGACCAGCCACAUUGGGACUGAGACACGGCCCAAACUCCUACGGGAGGCAGCAGUGGGGAAUCUUGCGCAAUGGGCGAAAGCCUGACGCAGCCAUGCCGCGUGGAUGAUGAAGGUCUUAGGAUUGUAAAAUCCUUUCACCGGUGAAGAUAAUGACUGUAGCCGGAGAAGAAGCCCCGGCUAACUACGUGCCAGCCGCCGCCGUAA